UUACUAGUGCGUUUACAUAUUAUCAAUGUGCAACCAAUUUGCAAGAUACAACUCACACAUCUCAGAUUCAAGAAUAUAAGAUGUUACCAAUCACUCGUGAUACAAUUCAUGGAGUGAUAUAAGUGAGCGUGGGUUUAAUCCAAUGCUCAAAUCACAUUCAUAAGCACUCAUGAACGUUGCAGCAAACAUUUGCUUAUGUCUAAUGCUAUUUAGACAAUCCACACACCAAUUCACGACAGUCUUCAUUCAUAUCUACUUCCAACAUAUGAACGACUGUGGCCCGUUUGAAUAAUUCGAUUAUUCUUAAUAAACUCAAUUAUUCUGGAAGUCAAAACAUGCAAAUGUGAAACACAAGAAUAAUACUAAUCCCAUAUGGCCUCAAACCUUUGAGUAUAAAUAAAACUCCUUUUAUUUAUCACCAUAUCGAUUACUCAUUAUUUGUCGUUUCGGGUAAUCAACUUCUUACUUGAAUUACAACACUUGUCCCAUGCUCCUAGCAUGCACACAAUGUUUACCUAUGGUUCUUACUUUGUGAAAUAGAUCACAUUGAACACAUUUCCAAUCCUUCUCAUUUCACAACUCCAAAUCCGUUUUUCAUAAGUCAAAGAAUAUCAAAUUCUUGCUACUUAUAGAAUAUGCUAGAUUCUAACAUUCUAUGCAACUAUCCUUUCGUAAUGUCACUGCACCAAAGUCACAAAGACUAUUGCCAAUGAUAUUACAAAGUCCUCUAUCGGAGAUUGUUACAAGACAAUUCCAUAGAUAUGAUGUCUCUCACUCAAAGUACAUUCCUUUGAACAUCCUUUUGCAUAAAAGUUUCUAAUCUAGACAUAGAUUUUCAAUAUUCAAUUCCCAAUAUGGACACACUUCCAUAUUUUCCAUAUGACAACUCAUUCUUAAUAGAAUCUUAUCUAUUCGUAAUGAUGUCGAUAUGGUCCAUCCAAUAUGGAAACAUUUCCAUAUUUUCCAAUACUAUACUUCCAACUACUCACAAGCGACCAAUCCUCGUCGAACUUUGGAUUGUCCUUUGAUAGUUGUUUAAUUGUUUUAGUCAAAACCAAUUCUAGUCCCUUUUCCCUCUAAAUGCGCUCGACAUUUGGAAAAUUUUAGAAUGGUCAAACAUUAAAGCAUUUGCAAUCGAUCCUAUACCCGAAGCGUAUGGGACACGACGCAUAAUGUUUUAUUUGCUAUGUUCUCAAAAUUCGAAUUGUGAAGAGGGAUGCCGUAAUCAUAAUCGAAAUUUUAAGAACACACUAUGUACCUUUGACUAAAUUUAUUAACAUUUCUCAACCUAAUCCUUUAGAUUUGAAAUGAAGCAUAAUAUUCUCUCCCUUAAUUAUAGCAAAACAACUUUUCAACUCUUACAACUUUGCAAAGUAUGACUCUUGUUUUCUAUAAUUAAUAUUGCUAACCUUGCAAUACUUUCCUUAAUAAUCAUACAAUCAUAACAUUUAUGCUCCCACUAUCAUGAUGAUUAUUAUAAAACAUAACACUUAUGCUCCCACUAGCUUCGACAUGUAUUCAUAAACAUCUUAACUUUCAGAAAACAAUACUUAUUGAAUUUCUUAAGUUCAUGUUUCUAAUACUUAGUGCUUUGAUAAUCCUUUAUCAAUGCUUCUUGAACUUAUACACCUUUGCCUUCGAUAGUUCAUAUGUGUGUCUAAACAAUUAAGACUAAUUGCCAAACCUCACAAUUCAAAUUAUGGAAAGGGAUGCCGUAACCAUAAUUGAAUUCGAGAAUGCAAUUUUACAAUCACUAUCUUCUUAAAAUCUUUCUUAGUGAAAGCAUUUCCUCACAAUCAUUUUCAUGAAGGAGGAAAUCUUAUGACACUUAGAUUUAAACGGUGUAUGUGUUCCUAUCCAUGUGAAUUUGUUAAAACCAAAGUUUACGACAAAUUCAAACUCAUAUGGACCGAACUUUCUUAAUCUUGAUUUCUUGCCUUAUGGUAGCACAGCUGCCCACCAUGUCUUCCAAGUAGUUAAGCAGCUCACCUUUUCCUAUCAAUGUACCUUUCAUUGAUUAAGGUGCUUUGCCUUUUAUGCGUUCAAAAUGAGAACUCAUAGAACUCACAUGCAUAAUUAACUCGAUUGGAUUGGCACAGAAUCAAAAUAAUGUCAACACGAUAGGUUGUAAACCUCAACUCGUGUGCUAGUGAUGAUCGAUAAGGUUUAUUUGAUUUGUUCUUGAAACCUUUCAAGACCAUUAAGACUCCCACUGACUCCUUGACAUAUAAGAUUCUCUUGUCAAUAACCAUUUCUUGACAAACAAAUAUUCAAGAGUUAGUGUAGCUUUUAUCAAAACACUUCAUAAAUUGGUCCUAGUUGGUCUUUGUCUUAUCCAAGACAUCACAACUUUCCACAUUUAAUGAAAGUUACAAACCUUCUUAAUACCUUUCACUCAAUGUCACAAUCUUAACUUUAAGACUUGUUAUUGGAACGAAGUAUGAUUGACUUAUUGAUUUAACCAUUUCUUCAAUUCUUGAUUCCUCUUCUUAGACAUACAAUUGUACUAAGACUCACUUAGAGGAUCAAUUGAGAUAUGGUUCUUAAUCAUUAAGACCUAUCAUAAAGCAUAAAAGGUACUCUCCCUUCUUCUUAGAAUGGAGAAACUUUUAUCUUUCUGCCUACUUGAUUCUUCUUAUUCGUUCUGCUAUUGAUUUAAACCUUUUCAAUCAAUUCAGAAUUACACUUAAUCUUAUAAGUAUAAUCAUAUUUACUAAACCUUUAGUAAAUCAUGACGAAUAUCUUUGUUACUCUUAUGGUGGACUUGAUCAACACGCAACUUUGUGUACUCGAUCUCCUAGUCCUUCACUUGACACUUUGUCAAUGAAUUAGUCUAAUUUCCAAAUAUGAAAUUUCUCAUUCAUCGUGCAACCAAGUUGCAUGAUUCCAAGUUUCUGUCCAAUUGAAACUUGGGCGAUGAGAAACUCUCCCUAUUUGGUAAAUUCUCGACUUUCCAUAAAUAACAUAAUAAGAACCAAAUCCAUUAUUGCUAAUAAUAGAAACAUUUUAACAUCAAUUUUUCAUACACGCCAUUGUAAGGAUAAAUAAAUAAAAUUUAAAAUCAAAAUUUAUUUUAUUGCGGAAAAAUUUGUCCUUACAAUGCAAUUCAUUGAAAAACUUAUGCUAAUACAUCUUUCUUAGCAAUCUAAUUCUAACUCUAAGUAGUAGCUCAAGAAUCUAAUCUUCGAGAAAUGCGAUCGAAAUCCAUUCCUUCACGGUUAGAUUCUGCUCACUUCUUCCCUUAAGCUUCCUUUCUUUUCUUCGAUCCUACAAAACAUCAAUUGUAAUCUUAUCACAUUAUGUAUUAAGAAUCUAGAAUAGAAGCUUAAAAGAGUUAGUUAAUGGAUUUUACCUAUAUUAGAGCCAUACGUUUCGACUCUCCCAUCUCUUAGAUCUCUUAGGUAAAUGGGGCAGCUUCGUCUCCAAUGCCCUUUCUCUUGGCAAUAAAAGCAAAUUGACUCUUUUGGAACAUGACAUGGAACUACUUCAGACAUUGCCUUUCUCUUAUGAUCAAACUUUUCGAUCAUAGCAUGUCUUUCGUUGCCAUUGUCUAUAUCCAUAGAGGUCUUGAAGGCAGAUUCACCAAUCAACUUUGCUUUUCUAUUGCGCCAAACCAUUGCUGAUUCAGCAGCAAUAAGCAUAUAGGUGAGAUCUAUAAGGGUCACGUCGCGGUUCAUCAUAUAGUACUCUCUUACGAACUCACUAUAUGAGUUAGGAAGUGACUGAAGAACCCAAUCAACAGCCAUUUCCUCACAGACAACGGAUCCCAACAUUCUUAACCUAUCAAUGUGUGACUUCAUCCCUAGGACGUGUGCACACACCGACUUUCCUUCUUUAUGUUUACUUGCCAAAAGGGCUUGAGUGAUCUUGAACUUUUCAAGCCUUUGAACUUGUGGGUUAGGGAGAAUAAUUGGAGGAGGUGGAGGAAGUGAAGCAUGAUUUCUUGUUCCUCGAUCGAAUCGUGGAAUAUCAUCUUCAUGUGGAAUGCUUGUUCCACGGGAUUUGGGAAGACCAUAGUUGUCGAACUUUGACAUCUACAAAACGGGAGAAAACGAAUUCAAGUUAGUUGAUUGAUUGAGUCCUUAGUAAAUCACCCAAAUGAGAUACUAAGGCUAGGACCCAACACAAUAUUCUACAACUCGGGAGAGGGAUGCCGUAACCCAAAUUGCAGAACAUUUGAAGGUAAGUGAAUGACGAUUCACUAAUUUCCACCAUGAAAAACGAAAAAGAAAUUUAAGUUUUAAAUCUAUGAAAACUCCUAGAUCCUUUGAGAUUCAUUGAACAUUUCAAUGGCAUGUUUAAAUCUCGAUAUGCCCCUCUAGUUUGUGACUGGGAUGCCGAGGAUCACAAAGCGGGUGUGAAUAACCAUGCAAACUUACAUGGUGCCCUCACAUGUUACAGUCACCUAUUCGAUGUGCCGGUAAACCACACACGCUCCACCGAACUAUGACAAACAUUGAGUCACCCUUUGCUACCUUUGCUUAGAACCAUUUAGUGUGCCGGUAAACCACACACGCUCCACUAACGUCUUCGCAAGGGCACAAAGUGUAAUUUCAUGGAAUUGCAUCAAUUCACUUUUGCCUAAGUAACUAAGAUUGGGAAUUUUAUGAAAACAUUUAGUUACUUUUAUACUUCAUUAUACUUAUAAUGGAAGGUUUCGUCCUAUCCUACCCGUUCGGCUAACGACCCUCCACUAGUCAAGAGUGCGGUGGGUAAGAGUGGAUACCCAUUCAAUCGCCAUUUUAUAGGCAAUUUCCUUAAACACCCCUUAUAGACCAGCUUCGUGAAUGAGGCCUACUAACGGUAAGACUGACUUUUACUCAUACAUAUAUAUAAUGUUAGACUUUUAAUGUUAUAUAUAGUAUAGGGUGUAUUUUACACUUUUAAAAUACUAGGUGGUCAAAUUUAACAAUUAUACUUUUAAUUCAAUUAAAUUGUAAACCAAAACUUUUAUGGAUUUAUUAAACCUCUUUUAAUUAUACACCUUAAUUAAUUAAUAAAACCAUAAGGGUGUGAUUUGAACUUUUUCAAAACAAUACUAGAGUUUUAGAAUUUAACAUUCCUAAUUAAACUUUUAAUCAACUUUUAAAUUCCAAAACUUGAGGGCAAGUUUUGAAACAUUUCAACACAUUAGGGUUUAGAAUUUAAAUAUACAUCAAAAUUAAACUAUUUAAUCAAAAUUUAAAUUCCAAAACUUGAGGGCAAGUUUUGAAACCUUUUUCAAAACAUUAGGGUUUCAACUAUUUAAAUUUCAAAACAACAAAACUUUUGGGUUCAAAUUUAAACUAUAAAACCUAAAGGGGAAAAUAUGAAACUUUUCAUAACAACAAGGAUCAAAUAACAAAUAAUUUAAAUUAACAUUUAAUCACAUAAUUAUCCAUAUUUGAUUUAUUUAAUGAUUUCUUGCAAAACAAUUUAUCAAUUUAAUCAAAAUAAUUAAUCAAUUAUCACAUAAGGAAACAAUUAUCUUAUUAAUUGAUAAAUAUCUUCAAUUAGAUCAAAAAUAUAGUCAAAUAUAUCAUAUAAUCGGAUUAAUAUUGAUCUAACAUGAUAAGGUAACUAUCCAUAAGCAAAAACAGCAAGAAAUCCCGAAGUACCCUCCUUCUGACGAGUUGACUCGUCGAGUCAGCCUUGGACUCGUCGAGUCACCUUGGACUCGGCGAGUUCAGCCAUGGACUCGGCGAGUCCAGCCUCCAGAAACCCAAAAAACGAAUUUUCCAGUUAUACAAUGCAUCAAUACAAUUGAAACCAAGCUAGGCUCUGAUACCACUGAUGGGUUUUGGUCAUAAGACAUCCUAUGUGCUCAUACAAACCCUAAUGCUUGGAUCUAGGUUUCUCUAUUGUACAUGCUUUGAAUCCAAGACUAUAAACCCUAAUUCUAGCAUAUGGAAAUCAAUAUUAACAUAUAAUUAGGUUUAAGAUAUUACCUUGAUUGUUAUGUAGCAAUAACAAUCCCAAUUCCUCCUUGAAUUGACUUUGGAAGGCUUAGAGUCACAAGUGUCACUCCUCUAAUGGCUUACAAACACCAUAAGCAAGAGGAUGAAGAGGAGAGAGGAUAGAGGCUGCCCAAAACGUGUUCUAACCCUAGAAAAGAAGUUCCCCACGUUUUUGAGCCUUAAGGGUUCUAUAUAUAGUGAGGCUAUUAGGGUUAUCUAACAAGGAAACCCUAAUUUGGUUGCUUAAGCCCUAAGCAACCCAUAGACUCCUUUAAUCAAGCCCUUGGACGAUUUCCUUAUGGGCUUCCCAUAAGAAUUCGUCCACCUCUUGAUUUAAGACAAUCCAUGGCCCAAAUUGCAAUUAUCUUAUAAUUACAAUUCCAGUCCCUUAAGUUUAAUUAAUCUCUUUUAGUCACAAAACUAAUUACCAAUUAAUUAUUGACUAAUAUUAAUUAAACAAUAUGAUUUCUCCUUUAAUAUAUUAUUCCCAUAAUAUAUUAAUAAAUCAUAUUUAAUCCUUUCUCUCCAUAAUUCAUCCUAUCAAGUUGCUUUGGUGAAGGCAACCCAAAAGGACCAUGCACCAUCGGGUCAAGUACAUACCAAAAUUGUUAUGGACUUAGACACUAAUCCAACAAGUACUUCUAUCUAAUGUUGUUUUAAAGCUUCAUAUAUGCUUAAUACACUAGAAAUCAUAGGAAAACACUAAGACCUGUGAGUUUACCGCCCAACAACACCUUGGGGAGUAAACUCCUUUAUAAGGGCCAAAGUGUGCCCAAUGCCCCUCCAAGCCUUAAAACUCAACCUAGAAGCUACCAUUACAUGUUUAGACCACAAAUUCAUUAAGAAACAAAGGCUAGAAGUGACUUCACGGCCAAGGAUGUUCUUGGGCCGUGAACUCCAUUUUUAGGUGCCAAAACACCCUAAAAGCCUUCCUUAAGCCAAGAUACUAGUUUAGACAUGUACCCUAAUGAGUUGAGGACUAGCAAACACCCUUAGAACACCAAGAGUAAGAUGUUCACGGCCCAAGAAGUUCCAGGGCCGUGAACUCCAAACAAUAGUGCCAAAUGGUGCUAUAAACUCUUCUAAAGCCUUGUACACUAGCAUAGUUUAGUUCCUAGUUGAUUUAGGGACUUGAAAACACCAAGAACACCCAUCCAAGGGAGAUUACGGCCGUAAUCUCCAUGGGAUAUGGUCCCAGGGCCGUAAACUCCUAAAAGGAGUUAUAUAAUGCCCUGAACUCUUCCAUGGACCAAGCCAUUAAGUAGAAAUGCUUCUUAGGGCCUUAUAGGGCAUCAAACAUCAAAUGGACAUAUAAGUAUGAGCUCACGGUCGUAAACUCAUGAGUUUACAACUGUAAACUCAUUUAGUAGUGUCAUUAGGGCAGUGAACUUCAUGAAGGAGUAUUCCUUGAGCCCUAUACACAAUAGCUUCCCCUACAAACACUUAGAUGCAAUCCUAGAGGCUAAUAACACUUGAUAAAGGUGUUUAGCAUGUCCUAGGGUGUCUUGACUUGUUUAUUAGUUGUUUAUAGACUAAUUUGUUACAUAUAUGUGAUAUUAUAUGUUAACUAGGAUCAUAGAGUGUGUUCAAGACUUCACUUGACACCUAGCAGUCCUACCUCUUCAGUUCAUCCGUAUCACCCACAACAGGUGAGUUCAUACCCCUUAAUCAAUGUUUUAACUGUUUUUAAAUGUUUUAUGCGGGGGGGAUACAAGUAGAAUCAUGCUAGUUAUUAUAUCAAUCACUUGUGAUUAAUAAGCAACAUUUAAAUGAUUGGCUACUCAUUAGCCGUUUUACCAAACAGUUUCCUUCAAAUGUUUAACGUAAUCACUUAUUAUGUUUAAAACUCCUCAUUAAAUUGUACAUUUUACUCUGUAUGUUCCAUUCAAACUCUUUUACAAUUGUGUUUCAAACAAAUGUUUCCUUAUACUUAAACUGUUUAAUCAAACCCAUGUAUUCAAACCGUUUUAUAGAUUGACAUCAAGUCGAUCUUUUCUUAGAUAAUAGAACUUAUUUCAUGCUUUUAUAUUAUCAAUUUCAUGCCUAUAUAUGUAUAGCUAUACAAGAAAUGUUUAAAAGACUUAGGAAGGCUAUCCACCCUAUUUCCUUUUCGCGCUUGAGAUGUGGUCUGGUGGGACAUCGGGUAUCCGUCUGAAGGUUGUUUAAAUAUUAGUUAUAUAUCAUAUGUACAUAUAUAGUCAUAAAGGUCCUUCCAGUUCAUCCAACGCCCUUGGUUAUCAAGGGUAUACAUCCAUGUUCAUAGGUACCAGUUAAAUUACUAGUAAGCUACCAUAUGUGUAGUUUAGGAAGAUACUAGAACUAUUACUAGAACGCGAUAUCAUAUAAUGAGUCAGUACAUUCAUGAGUCAAUACUUGCUAGAUAGAGAGAACAUACAUUACAACUAGUACUCACAGUACAUUACUAUACCUGCUAGAUAGAGAGAGAACACACACAUUACAGCUAGCACACAUAGAACAAUUUACAAUACAUUACAUAUACAAUUAUACUUGAAGAAGAACAUAUACGAUUAUACUAGGAAGAGAAUAUAUACAAACAAUACUAGAACGAGUAACAAUACAUUACAUAUACAUGAAUACGUUAACAAUUGUGAUCCACUGUAUCGGAGCAUGCCUUCAAUGUCAUGGCCCGAGUUGCAGCCAGAGUCUCUUGGAGGGAGAGCGUGAGUUUGCGUAUAGAUCUAUACUGGAUUGACUAUCCUACACCUUGCUACUAGCUACAGUCGGACAUGCAGGUCUGCGGGUGCCAAACGUCAUACCUUCUUACGACCAACAUUUGUCGUUGUUACCUAGUCGAUAGUAUGGUACAAUUAUUCACAUGAUGCCUUAAUAUAAAUCCGGUUUAAGGUAGUUAGUACAGCAGUAGUUCCUAUAAUAUGACACUGCAGUACUACAUUAAUUUCCCCUUUACAUAUAUUUAGUGAUCAUUUCACUUAAACAUUAAAUGUACAAACUAUGUUUUGUUAAUGAUAGUUACACUUGGGAAAAUUACACACUUUUACAUGAAUCGAACAUUUAGAACAGUUAAGUAUUGGUAGAAGACUACAUUAAGAACAGUCGGGUCUUGGUAGAAGGCUACAUUCAGAGCUGUUAGGUCUUGGUAGAAGGCUACAUUUAGAACAGUUAAGUCUUGGUAGAAGACUACAUUUAGAACAGUUAGGUCUUGGUAGAAGACACCCUUACAUAAUAGUAGGAAUCAUAGGGAUUUCUAGGGUUUUUCAAACGUUUAUAGUUGUUUUACAAAACAUUUUUAUACUUACAGUUCAUAUACAUUUCCAAUACUUACAAUUCAUAUACAUACAAAUACUUACAUACAAAUUAAAACACUAAAAUACUUAUGAUCUCACCAGCUUUAAAGCUGAUACUCGCUUUCAAAAUACUUGUAUCCUCAUGUCAACGAUAGACAGGUACCGAUGCAAGGUAUAGAGAAGAUGGAGCUCGUUCAAGACUUACCUUUCAUUUUGUUUAUACUUUAGUGUCUAUUAUAAUUUGACAUAACACUUGUAUUAAAAUUAUAUUAUUAACGCAAUAGAUGAUGUUGUUGCUUAUUUACUACUUUUCAUUGUUGUGAUACUGUACAUGACGUCCUCCGCCCCAGAACGUUUCUGCCGUUCUUGGUUUUGGGGUGUGACACAUCUCAAAUAAACUAACAAUAUAACUACACAUAGCAUGUAUAUUAUAGAAAAUACUUCAUAUCUAUGUGUAAGAUGAAAGUGACUACACACUCACUUUAUAGGAUGGCAGUUGGACAACACUUCGUCUCUUAAAACAAUCUUUUUCGAUGAAAUCGGGAUGUUUUCUUAAAAACUGGGCUUCAUGCGGGCAGAUUUUUUAAUCGAAAAACUCUUUUCUCGGGAUCUUCGGGCUCUCCGGGACUUGCUUACGAUGCUAGGAUGAUAUUAUAGGCUUGCGGUUAUUUAGUGUAGCGCGGAAGAGAGUAGAAGGGUGAAAAAGUAAUUUUUGUAACCAUUUUCAGGGCAGCCUCGCAUCUUAUUUAUAGGAGGCCGAAGCUCCUUAUUACGUUGGGCGUAAGUCUUCGGUACGUGGGGCGUACUGCUUUGCACAUCUCUUCACUGGGCGUACGAAGUGGAUCAGCUCGGACGCGUCAAGGAAACGACACGUGUCUCUCAUGCGAAGGAGUAAGGGGUGACGAACUCCGGAUCACUUACACGAGUACGAUGGGCAUACUCCUGCGAAGCAGCCUUGAAGUUUGUGCCGAAAACUUCAAAAAUUCAUAACUUUCUCAUACGAACUCCAUUUUUGACGUUCUUUAUAUCCAUGCGUAGGUGAAAUUAUGCUCUACAACUUUCGUUUAGACUCUGUAGGCUAAUUUUGAUUUAUUUUUAAAACUAUAUUUUUAACAGGUUGGGACAGGAAAAUUCCAUUGAAAAUUCAUAGCUUCUUCAUCCGACGUCCUUUUUCAUUUGUCUUUUUACCGUUAAACUACUAUCAAAGAGAUCUUCGAUUCUUGUUUAGGUUGUGUGGGCUAAAAAUCGCUCGAUGUAUAUUUCGAAUUCCAGGCUGCAUACUAUUAAGCCAAAUCUUAGAAAAUUCAUAACUUCCUCAGACGAAGUCAGGUUUGGACAUUAUUUUAAUGUACGCUCUCGGUUUAACGUAUACUACGACUUUGAUUUAGAUCGAUAAGGCUAAAAAUCACUUUAUCGUAAAUUCACUUUUUACGUCUCUUAGCGUUGUGUCGGUUUUGUCGCGAAACUUCAACAUGUCAUAACUUCUUCGUUAUAACUCGGAUUUCUGUAUUCUUUAUAUCUACAGAACCCUUGCUUCAACCACUACAACUUUCUUCAUAGAUAUCAAGUUUAUCUAAUAUUUAUUUUCGAUGCUUAUUUUUAUCCUUAAUUUAUUAAAUCAUAAUAAUCAAGUAUAAGCACACAGUAUUCAAAUAAUACAUUUUUAUUACUUCAAAACAAGUUACAACGGUUGACCUAGACUAUUACAUCAUCUUUAAUGCUUUAGCCCAGAAACAUGGGUAUUACACUCAGGUCAGGGAGCAGAGUUCAGUUUCAUAGGUACCAAUUGGCAGGGAAUUUGCCAAUGUUAUCCCCAAGGAAUUACCCAACAUGGCUCCGAAGAGGCAGGUUGAGUUCAUGAUUGAUCUAGUGUUGAGUGCGGUACAGAUUGACAAUAUGUCAUACUGUGACAUCUAAGAUUUAUCAGGUUUGCUUUUGAACCCUUUAGUUUGAUUUAGUUGUACAUUAGGCACCCCGAAGAUAAAUCUUGAAUUUUUAGUCUUGAUCAUGUACGUGGGGCAUACGUCCUUGUACGCGUAGUGUAAUGGACUACGUGUGAGUACGUUGUGCGUACUACAGUACGUUAGGCGUACAUGGCUCAGGUUAAAACAAUGGGAACCCAUUUUAUCGAUUGGAUUGGUGUGGAAAGAUAAUAUCAGGAAGAUAAUCGUAUAAACAUGAUGAAUACAAUAUGUGCAUAAGAUUGUAGUGGAUAGACAAAGAGAUACAACAUAAUACAAGAAGAACACUCAUGGAUGGGGAGAAUACCCAUCCAAACACACAAACUCUCUCUAAAGUGUACAUAGUGUACACAUACAUACAAAUGACCCUCACCUCCACCUUAUAUACUAGUGGAGGGAAUAGGCUUUUCAUACAAGGGAAUAUUCUAACCUAAUAAACAAUCAUCAUUGUAGAGAACUUUUACGCUCCAACAAUCUACCCCUAAAUGCUUGGAUAUGGUGAGGGUAAUACAGUGACAAAAGGCAGAACAUCCGACGGGCAGGUCUGGUAGGUCUGGUGCUGAAGCGUCUCGGAAAAGCUGAAGCAGUCGUGACUUAUGAAUCUGGCAAUGGAGUCUCUAUCAUCAAAGAACAUACAUAGGAACCCAAUCUCUGAAUAAAAAUAUGAAAUUCUAAUCUUCGAAUGUGAUCAGUCCCCAAAGACUAAUCAUGUUCACAAUCUCCCCCUCGAGUCUUCGAAUCACACAACAUCCUCAAUAUUCCAAACUCAAGUGAUAAUGCACCAUACAAUCUUUGAAGAAUAACCUGCUGAAAAUGUGAAGCAUGCAAAAAUAUAGUCUGAAUGAUAAAUAAUGUGAAUCCUAAGACAUGGUCUAGCAAUGCCAAAAAUUUGACCAGAUGAUCAAAAAUAAGUGCCACGUCACAUCGCCAAAAUAAGCUUCGUCUUCAAAUAUAUCACAAAUCCAAACUUGAACAAUCAUAAGAUCUGAUCCAGAUGCAAACACAAAUGAGACAUCCCAAAGUAGGAUGUGAAGACAAAUAAUCAUAAUCAGAAGAACGUCUAAUAAUGCCAAAAAUUCCAUCAGUAAAGAUUAAAAAUCAAUGUCACAUCACAAUACUAAAUCGAUCUCCGUCUUCAAAUGUCUCUAACUCAAAACUCCAAUAAUAAACCAUAAUGGAUGCUCAUGAUUCUCCCCCUAUUUUUCAUUGAACAUGCAAUAAAGAUAAAAAAUAAUCAUGAAAUCGGGCAAGAGAAUAUCUUGGAUAUGAUAGAGCAUCAUACGCUCCCCCUUGAUGUGACCAUCUACCUGUAAAAUGUAGAUAUUAUUUUUCAAGUCAUGGGUAGACUAGGUGAUGUAUUGCUGAACUGAACGAACACUGUAGAAUAUAUAUGAAAAAAAUCCCGUUGCUGAAGAAUCAUAAUGUUGAACUGAAGUUGUAACGCUCCAAAAAUCCAAGGUAAAAAUUUUAUUCUUAAUAUACUCAAAACAAUAUCAUAACUUUGUUCAAUACAUUGAAAAGCAAUUCAAAUAAACAAUUAUCAGAGUCCAUGUCACACCCCCAAACCAGAACGACGGAAACGUUCGGGGGCGGAGGACGUCAUAUUCAGUAUCAUAACAGUUCAUAGUAACGGAAGUACACACCACCAUAAAUAUAAAGGUUUCAAAAUGUUUACAUAGUUGUAUUUGUUACAUGUUCAAAAGAUAAAUACAUAAACAUCUUUCAAAAGAAGUAAUUAACGACAGCGCGUUAAUCCCCAAAAGUUGAUUUCCAAACCUGCUUAGUGGUUCCCUGAGAAUACAAGUUAUUUCAAAGAAAAAGUGUCAUCAAUUAAGUUGGUGAGUUCAUAAGCGGUUUUGAGAAAAUGUAUGCCAUUCUAAAGCUUGUGCGUUUUCCAAGAAAAUCCCUUAUUUUCUUAUAAAAGUAUGAAAUGCAUAUGAAUAUUCGUGUUGUAAAUUGUAAAUAGUUGAAUCAGGAAAAUCCCUUAUUUUACUAUUAGUUGAUUGUUUUGGAUACAGGAAAAUCCCUUAUUUUCCUAAAGUAACAGGCAGUCUAAUGUUCAAGACCGAAAAUCAAAAGCAACUGACAUGCUUAAAGAUUGAGGCAUAGUUUCAUAUAAUAAAACUAUAAGAAGAUUGUACUUUUUAGAUGAAGAAUAGUUUUAAUAGCUACUCAUUGAUAAAUCAGGAUACUAUAAUAAUUGUCUAUCCAGUGAGUUUGAUAACCAUACUAAACAUAAUAUGCUUGUGGCGACGGUCUUCAGGCGUCGGAACGUUAUGACAAACUAUCCCCCAAAGGACUGUAGCUAACAGUCAGGGUGCGGGAUCAUGAAUUCCCGUAUAGAUCUAUACACAUUUGACACGAUCUCCAAACGGGAGACUCUGGUUAUAAUAGACAGGACUUUAAGUAGUACCUUUUAUCGAAAAGGUAGCAUUUGAAGAUGUAAUCAUCUCACGGAUUCUCAACUAAGUCUGUAUUAAAAUUAUAGUUUUGUAUACAAAGUUUAUCCUUUUUCACAAUGUUUGACAAAGCAUAAAUCAUAAGUUCUUUGAAUGCAUAAAAUGGUUUAACAAUGAUGGCUACCUUGGAAUACUAUGUACUUUGUUUAAAUCUAAUGCAUGCAAAGUAUAACAAGAGUUUUCACGUUUUCACUCGGAAUUAACCGGAUGUUUACUUGUAUUCUCCACCAAAAUGUAUUAAAAGUACAUUAAAAAGUAUUUGAAAUUGUAUAGAAGGGUAUAUGAACUCACUUGAUUGAAGUGGUGGUUUUGAAGUAGUCGAGAGAAGAAUCGACCAGAACCUCGACUAGAAAAGUUGAAAGUGAUGGGUUUUGGUCAUAAGAACAUCCUAUGUGAUCAUACAAACCCUAAUGCUUGGAUCUAGGUUUCUCUAUUGUACAUGCAAGUUAUCAAAGACUAUAAACCCUAAUUCUAGCAUUCAAGUGAUCAUAUUAACAUGAGAAUAGGUUUAAGAUGUUACCUUGAUUGUUAUGUAGCAAUAACAAUCCCAAUUCCUAUUUGUAUUGGCUUUAGAAAGCUUAGAGUCACAAAUGUCACUCCACUAAUGGUUCACAAACACCAUAAGCAAGAGGACGAAGAGGAGAGAGGAUGGAGGCUGCCCUAAAACAUGUGAAACCCUAGAAUGUUGCUUGUCCACGUUUUUGGUCCUUUAGGGAUCUAUAUAUAGUGAUGCUAUUAGGGUUAUCUAACAAGGAAACCCUAAUUUGGAUGCUUAAGCCCUAAGCAACCCAUAGACUCCUUUAAUUAUGGCCUUGGACGAUUUACUUAUGGGUUUCCCCAUAGAAUUCGUCCACCCCUUAAUACAAGGCAAUCCAUGGCCCAAAUUGCAAUUAUCUUAUAAUUACAAUUCCAGUCCUUUAAGUUUAAUUAAUCUCUUUUAGUCACAAAACGAAUUACCAAUUAAUUCUUGACUAAUAUUAAUUAAACAAUAUGAUUUCUCCUUUAAUAUAUUAUUCUCAUAAUAUAUUAAUAAAUCAUAUUUAAUCCUUUCUCUCCAUAAUUCAUCCUAUCAAGUUGCUUUGGUGAAGGCAACCCAAAAGGACCAUGCACCAUCGGGUCAAGUACAUACCAAAAUAGUUAUGGACUUAGACACUAAUCCAACAGUCUCCCACUUGGAUAAGUCUAAUAACUAUUCUGCGUAUGACUUCAGAUCCUGAUCUGCAAUCGUAGCUUUCCAAAGCCGCUGUCAACUCUGAUCAUAUCAGAUACGCGUGUCCUUAGAUAAGGGAUCAUAUAUUCCUCCAUUCUAGAUAUCAUAUGAGAUAUGAUUUCAAAUCAUUCUCUUUGUACUAUAUCUCGAUUCCCGAUUUAUGACGACUGACUAAUUGAACAAAUCAAAUUAGCCCUAGCCCGGCCGAGCAUUUACGUUUGUCAUCACUAAAUCAUCGAGGGGCCCAAAGAUAUCGCUUUUAUCCUACUUUGGAUAAAAGGAACGGAUAAACUUUGAUACAAUGCUUGCUUGCACUUACUCACCGAAUCACACACAACAAUAUGUUUUAUAACACCAAGUUACUAGUGCGUUUACAUAUUAUCAAUGUGCAACCGAUUUGCAAGAUACAACUCACACAUCUCGGUUUCAAGAAUAUAAGAUGUUAUCGUCUCACCAAUCACUCAUGAUACAAUUCAUGGAGUGAUCCAAGUAAGCGUGGGUUUAAUCCAAUGCUCAAAUCAUAUUCAUAAGCACUCAUGAACGUUGCAGCAAACAUUUGCUUAUGUCUAAUACUCUUUUAGACAAUCCACACACCAAUUCAUGACAGUCUUCAUUCAUAUCUACUUCCAACAUAUGAACGACUGUGGCCCGUUCGAAUAAUUCGAUUAUUCUUAAUAAAUUCAAUUAUUCUGGAAGUCAAAACAUGCAAAUGUGAAACACAAGAAUAAUACUAAUCCCAUAUGGCCUCAAACCUUUGACUAUAAAUAAAACUCCUUUUAUUUAUCACCAUAUCGAUUACUAAUUAUUUGUCGGUUCGGAUAGAAGUCAUAGAACAUUAGUAUUUGUCCUUAAUAAAACACCUAGGUCCGAGUGUGAAGGACAGGCAUCAUUAGAACUUAGUCAGUUAUAGAUACUACUCCCCUAGACACGAGAGUAAAGAUUAAUCUUAAAGAUUGGAGAC
RNAcentral lists this long non-coding RNA (15793 nucleotides) under Lactuca sativa (garden lettuce). Its description in RNAcentral is "long non-coding RNA (LSAT_LNC007564)". The record is from RNAcentral. Lineage: Eukaryota; Viridiplantae; Streptophyta; Magnoliopsida; Asterales; Asteraceae.